RNAcentral lists this ribosomal RNA (1315 nucleotides) under unidentified marine bacterioplankton. RNAcentral's name for it is "bacterial SSU rRNA". It matches the Rfam family "Bacterial small subunit ribosomal RNA", at positions 9 to 1371 of the family's 1533-position model. The record is from RNAcentral.
GAGUUUGAUCAUGGCUCAGAACGUACGCUGGCGGCACGCCUAAUACAUGCAAGUCGAACGAAGUAGCAAUACUUAGUGGCAGACGGGUGAGUAACAUGUAGGUAUCUUCCCUAUGGUAAGGAAUAACACGAGGAAACUUGUGCUAAUACCUCAUAAGUCUUUACAGAGAAAGCUUUAUGCGCCAUUGGAUGAGCCUGCACUUGAUUAGUUUGUUGGUGGGGUAAAGGCCUACCAAGACAAUGAUCAAUAGCUGAUUUGAGAGGAUGAUCAGCCACAUUGGGACUGAGACACGGCCCAAACUCCUACGGGAGGCAGCAGUAGGGAAUCUUGCACAAUGGGGGAAACCCUGAUGCAGCGAUGCCGCGUGAGUGAAGAAGGCCUUUGGGUUGUAAAGCUCUUUCGUCGGGGAAGAAAAUGACUGUACCCGAAUAAGAAGGUCCGGCUAACUUCGUGCCAGCAGCCGCGGUAAUACGAAGGGACCUAGCGUAGUUCGGAAUUACUGGGCUUAAAGAGUUCGUAGGUGGUUAAAAAAGUUGGUGGUGAAAUCCCAGAGCUUAACUCUGGAACUGCCAUCAAAACUUUUUAGCUAGAGUAUGAUAGAGGAAAGCAGAAUUUCUAGUGUAGAGGUGAAAUUCGUAGAUAUUAGAAAGAAUACCGAUUGCGAAGGCAGCUUUCUGGAUCAUUACUGACACUGAGGAACGAAAGCAUGGGUAGCGAAGAGGAUUAGAUACCCUCGUAGUCCAUGCCGUAAACGAUGUGUGUUAGACGUUGGAAAUUUAUUUUCUGUGUCGCAGCGAAAGCAAUAAACACACCGCCUGGGGAGUACGACCGCAAGGUUAAAACUCAAAUGAAUUGACGGGGACCCGCACAAGUAGUGGAGCAUGUGGUUUAAUUCGAAGAUACGCGCAGAACCUUACCAACACUUGACAUGUUCGUCGCGACUUUAAGAGAUUAAAGUUUUUGGUUCGGCCGGACGAAACACAGGUGCUGCAUGGCUGUCGUCAGCUCGUGUCGUGAGAUGUUGGGUUAAGUCCCGCAACGAGCGCAACCCUCACUUUUAGUUGCCAUCAUUAAGUUGGGCACUCUGAAAGAACUGCCAGUGAUAAGCUGGAGGAAGGUGGGGAUGACGUCAAGUCCUCAUGGCCCUUACGUGUUGGGCUACACACGUGCUACAAUGGCAUUUACAAUAGGAAGCAAGACGGCGACGUUAAGCAAAUCCUAAAAAAAUGCCUCAGUUCGGAUUGUACUCUGCAGCUCGGGUACAUGAAGCUGGAAUUACUAGUAAUCGCGGAUCAGCGCGCCGCGGUGAAUACGU